This 812-nucleotide ribosomal RNA is filed under the name uncultured archaeon. RNAcentral's name for it is "bacterial SSU rRNA". It matches the Rfam family "Archaeal small subunit ribosomal RNA", at positions 85 to 879 of the family's 1478-position model. The record is from RNAcentral.
ACGGCUCAGUAACACGUGGCUAACCUGCCCUUGGGAUAGGAACACCCCCGGGAAACUGGGGCUAAUUCCCAAUAGGCGAAGAACUCUGGAAUGAGUCUCCACCAGAAAGGGCAUCUGCGCUAUGCUCGCAGGUGUCGCCCAAGGAUGGGGCCGCGACCGAUCAGGUUGUUGGUGAGGUAAUGGCUCACCAAGCCUUUUACCGGUGCGGGCCGUGGGAGCGGGAGCCCGGAGAUGGGCACUGAGACAAGGGCCCAGGCCCUACGGGGCGCAGCAGUCGCGAAAACUUUGCAAUAAGCGAAAGCUUGACAGGGCUAUCCCGAGUGCCAUCCGCUGAGGAAGGCUUUUACCCAGUCUAGAACGCUGGGGGAAUAAGGAGAGGGCAAGUCUGGUGUCAGCCGCCGCGGUAAUACCAGCUCUCCGAGUGGUGUGGAUGUUUAUUGGGCCUAAAGCAUCCGUAGCUGGCUAGGUUAGUCCCCUGUUAAAUCCACCGAAUUAAUCGUUGGAUUGCGGGGGAUACUGCUUGGCUAGGGGACGAGAGAGGCAGACGGUAUUUCCGGGGUAGGGGUGAAAUCCUAUAAUCCCGGGAAGACCACCAGUGGCGAAGGCUGUCUGCUAGAACGCGCCCGACGGUGAGGGAUGAAAGCUGGGGGAGCGAACCGGAUUAGAUACCCGGGUAGUCCCAGCUGUAAACGAUGCAGACUAGGUGUUUGGACGGCCACGUGCCGUUCUAGUGCCGCAGGGAAGCUGUUAAGUCUGCCGCCUGGGGAGUACGAUCGCAAGAUUGAAACUUAAAGGAAUUGGCGGGGGAGCAC